UGAAAGCCUCGGAGCCAUGUUAGAAUAUUAAUAUAUCGAACUUGGCCUAUUUUUGGCUGUAAACUGCCUUGUCGAAUAUUAAAACCGAAUAAAAUCAGUAACAAGAAAUGAUAAAUGAUAUAUGGCAGGGCUACACCGAGACAUUUUAACGGUACACAGAAUGUAAAGAAUGAAGCUGUUAGCUUAUAGCUUGCUUAUGCAGGGCGAACUUAAAAUAUUCAGAAAAAUUUAUUGUUGUAGAUUUCGAUUACUUCAAGAAAUUAAAAUAGCUCUUUCCGUGAGAUGUGUUCAAUCUAAUGGUGUUAAUAGUGAUUAAUAUCAAGCCCCCAAGAUGGCGCAACCCGACGACGAUGUUGACCUGCAGCCCUUCUCAAACUCAUUGAUAAUUCAUCAACUUUGACAAAUCAUAACUGUAAUGGUGUUUGGACAUCGGAUUUGAAUUCGCAUAGAUUUUUACGAUUUUGAUUCUCCGUCUUUUCCCUAGUUGUAGUUUUGAUUAAGAAGGUAUAGCAAACACUCUAAACAGUGCUUCAACGCAAUUCCAUUCACUUCGACUUCUGCAAUUUCAUUUCUCUUCUUGGUGUUUAGAAAUGUGAUAGAACACGAUCUCUCGUGUUUGAUAGAUUACCUUGGAGGCUGAUGAAGUCUAUUCGAUUAGAAUAUCUCGUGAAAAUCGAAAUUAUGUGCAUCUGAGAAGGGGCGGUGAUUGUGUUGGCAAGAAAACAUCCCGCUGUAUAAUUUCCAACCGUGCAUCUACAAAAAGAUAAUGCACACUCAGCUCCAAAAGCGGGUAUACAGCUGCUGUAUUGUAAACGUAAAAGUCAGAUUGCCUUUAACAAAAUUUAAGAGCCACCUUGCUUUGAACCUACUUCGCCGCUUUAAUAUUCCUCCUUCCGACCCGUCAUGUGUACUAUAUAUCCGGUCCUUGAGUGCGCAAUUAGCAUUAAUUUCAAAUAGAAAGGUACAAAGCUUAUCAAUAAAUGGUAAACAGCGAACUCAUAAUGCUCUCCUUUGUAAUUGAUUUCCUUUGGAAACUUAUUUGCAUUUGACAAUGAAUCAUUUUUUGCACGACUCGAAUCAUUGUUGAGAUAUAGAUGAAAAGAUGGCACCAAUAUAUGUCAAACGGUACCAUACCAUGCACGGUUCUUCUCUUUCAGUCCUGAAUGAAUCUCCAUCUUCAAAAUUACUCCUACACUUUACGUUUCCCGUUUGGACAUUGUCGCGAGAAACCACUGACUUCCCAGAUAUAUUUUUGGAUUUACUGUUCUCAGGCUAACAAAGCUUAUGUAGCUUUAUGCGGCAGGGUUCUCUUCUCGCGUUCAUUGCCAAGCGUGUCCCCUAUUCUGAAACGUUCGUUCAGCUCCCACCGUGCGUUUGAUUACAUCGUUCAUGUGCCAGUGUCUUUAGAGAGGAUAAAGUUUACCAUGACACAUUAUUACCUUAGUAAAUGGACAACUCUGAUUUGUCAGCUGUACAAUGUGUAAUCACCUUACUCUGCGUGUAUGUCAUGUUAUUUACAGUUGUGAGUGAACAAAUCCAUCAACCAAAGGAAAACAAAUGCCCUUUAUUACACCUGAUGCAUUUCGAUAAGGAAUAAUAAAUUUAGCAAAGACACCAUUCCAAAUAUAUUUCAUUUUGAACAUUUUUGGUGUUUUAUAUUAUUACACAAUAUUAUUUCAGCAAUUAAUACCUUUCCAAUUUUCACAAGAACAGGGCCACAGUACCAUGUUUGCAACAUGUUGAAUAAACAGAGUCGAGCCGAUCAACACUUGAAGUUACAUUAGCCACCUUAUAUUUGACAUAGGCUGCUUUUUUGAACCCAUCCUUUCCCUCUUUCAGUUCACAAUUUUCCCUCUAUGCAUUACAUUAUCUUAAAGCAUUACAAAUUAAAGACAUUGCUCCUUUAGUGUUACAUGUACUUCCAAAUCAGUUGUUUGACCCCGUUGCGAAUAUCAUUCAUCCUCCAAAUAUAAAUAAGAGGAUUUAGCGAAGAAGACAAAAAUACAGACGUCAACGACAUAACAUAAGCCAGUUCUACCACAGAGUGAUCCCUGAGAGAGCGAUAGAUCCCGAAAAAGACAAUAAAAGGAGCGUAACUAAUGUAAAAUAAUAGCACAAUAUACAGAAUAGAAAAUACAGACUUCUUGUAUUUUGCCAAGUUUAUCGCCGGUUGACCUGAAAUCUGACGCGUUUCUCUGGCUUGCACUUGUUGUUGGUGACAUCGAAUAAUUCGGAAAACCUUAAAAUACGAUGACGAUAUGGCAAUGAGACAAAGCCAUAAAAAGGCGAAGGAAACUGUCAAAACAUGUUCAUAGCUACCCGUUAAGUUAUUUAACGUGCGAAACACAGAGAAUGGGAUCGGAGCGAGAAAUAUCCCAGCGACAAUAAAACGCGCUCGACGCUGGGUAAACAAGAAUCUCCGCGACAUCUGCAACCAUCUUUCAAUCGACAUGCAUGUGAGAAUCAGGACCGUCUCGUAUAUCAAGUAACUUCCAAAGCCACCAGUAAUUACUCUCGCUAAAAAGAGAAACGUCUGACGGCCCUCGAUUUCCUGGGGUCCCUCCGAACAAAUAAACUGGGAUGAAACAUAAAAUGGCUGAGUGAUAAGUCCUGUGGAUAGGUCGGUUAAAGCUAAUCCACCAAGGAACAUGUAGAAGGGAGUUCGCAAGGUCCGAUUCCUCCAAAUUACUGCCAAAAUUAAAACAUUUCCUGUCACUGCAAUCGGCGAGAGAACAGCGAUAACUAUUGAAAGUAGUAAAAUCGCUUCGUCAUAAGCAGAAUUUUGUUUCCUGUCCGUCACGCCAUCAAAGCUACAAAGGAUAGAGACGUUGGUGGUAAUUGCCAUCAGUGAUCACUGCAACCUUGCUCUUUGGUAACUUGAUGGAUAACAUGUAAAUGGAACUGCUCGAAGUGCUAACCUACGACAAAGAUGCCACGUAUCCUGCUAGACAUGUGUACUAUAAAUAAUUUCCAAAA
Molecule: long non-coding RNA, 2976 nt
Filed under: Orbicella faveolata
Lineage: Eukaryota; Metazoa; Cnidaria; Anthozoa; Scleractinia; Merulinidae
Description: uncharacterized LOC110049485
Source: RNAcentral